GGGACUGUGGCUCAGUGGUAGAGCGCUCAUCUAGCACAUGGGAGGCUCUGGGUUCGAUCCUAAGCACCA
This 69-nucleotide transfer RNA is filed under the name Ictidomys tridecemlineatus (thirteen-lined ground squirrel). Its description in RNAcentral is "Spermophilus tridecemlineatus (thirteen-lined ground squirrel) tRNA". It matches the Rfam family "tRNA". Rfam says of the family: Transfer RNA (tRNA) molecules are approximately 80 nucleotides in length. Their secondary structure includes four short double-helical elements and three loops (D, anti-codon, and T loops). The record is from Rfam by way of RNAcentral. Lineage: Eukaryota; Metazoa; Chordata; Mammalia; Rodentia; Sciuridae.